Molecule: non-coding RNA, 115 nt
Organism: Fibrobacter succinogenes subsp. succinogenes S85
Lineage: Bacteria; Pseudomonadati; Fibrobacterota; Fibrobacteria; Fibrobacterales; Fibrobacteraceae
Source: Rfam
UUCAGCGGUUAUCGAGUGAGGGUCACACCCGUUCCCAUCCCGAACACGGAAGUUAAGCCUCAGAUCGCCGAUGGUACCUGGCCCUCGGGUCCGGGAGAGUAGGUCGCCGCUGGAU